This is a long non-coding RNA of Antechinus flavipes (yellow-footed antechinus), 1038 nucleotides long. RefSeq lists it as uncharacterized. The transcript has 2 exons. NCBI's taxonomy places the organism in Eukaryota, Metazoa, Chordata, Mammalia, Dasyuromorphia, Dasyuridae. The record is from RefSeq and is a predicted model, not a curated record.
CCCUCCCCUAGCACCCCCUCCCUGCCCUUCCUGAGGGCGGCAGCCGGGGCCCCGAGAUAAGAGCUACCGCCGGGCUUUGGCUAGGGUAGUGGCACCGAGAUGGGCAAGAUUUAUGACUUCAUGCACCAAAGCUGUAAACAGAGAACUAAAACAGAAAACACUUGCUCCUUAUGGCAUAUUGCGACGGCCCAACAUGAAAGGAGAAGCCGGGUCGCGUAGGAGGCGAGGCGAGAGGGGGCCGAAAAAUCCGCUGGCCUGCAUUUUCUCUUCAAGCCAUCAGCCCACCCCCAGGUUGGAUGUUUCCCUGGAAGAAAAGAGGCUAGGUCAAUAAUCAACCCCGCACUUUCUCCUCCAAACUGCUGAUGCGACUGGCUCCCCGUUUCCAGCUAAACUAGCUGCAGGGAACGAAAGGAAGGCUGCCAGAAACUUAGGGCAAGAAGAGGAGGACGCUAAGCAGCCGGGGCCGGGGUUAGAGGUGGGAGAGGGCACAGAGAUGUGCUGCUGUCGGAAAAGGGGGCUGGGGGGAUGUCUCGACCUCCUCCGAGUUCUUUGGAAAUAGAGCGGGCCAUGAGAAGACUCUAGAAAGUCCACUCCCGAGACUAAGCUAGGUACUUUUAACCCGGAGAGCUUUAAAAAAAAAAAAAAUCUGCCUGGGAAGGAGGGAAUCUCAAAUAGAUAGCCUGGGAUCGGGGGGCAGCUUUCAGCCUCCCCGGCGCACCUCCGAAGCAGCAGAAUAGGGCUCCGGGGCACACAAAGGUGCUUCCUUCGUUGACUUUUUCUGCUCGGGCCAGUGGUGGGCCAUAGGCGUGGAAGGGGGCGAGGUGAGCUGGCAUCUCGGGAAGAAGGCGGCCAGAGAUGCAAAAAAAGACGCCCCUCCUCGGGUCACUUAAAAAAACGGAUACUUUGAAAGGAUGGAUGGUGGAUUUCUAACAAUCAUUUGGUUCGUUCGUGCUUGGGGGGGGUUUUACGUCGCCAUUGGUUUGGGUUUUAUUUAUUUGGAAACAACAACGACCAAAAUAAAAGCAAUCGCCUUGAAAA